This 117-nucleotide non-coding RNA is filed under the name Ilyobacter polytropus. RNAcentral's name for it is "FMN sequence". It matches the Rfam family "FMN riboswitch aptamer (RFN element)". From Rfam's summary of the family: The RFN element is a highly conserved domain that is found frequently in the 5'-untranslated regions of prokaryotic mRNAs that encode for flavin mononucleotide (FMN) biosynthesis and transport proteins. This element is a metabolite-dependent riboswitch that directly binds FMN in the absence of proteins. The record is from RNAcentral. RNAcentral also lists the same sequence under 1 other name. Lineage: Bacteria; Fusobacteriati; Fusobacteriota; Fusobacteriia; Fusobacteriales; Fusobacteriaceae.
AAGAUCUUUAGGGGCGGGGUGUAAUUCCCCACCGGCGGUAUAGUCCGCUAAGGCUUUUGCCUUGAUUCGGUGAAAUUCCGAAACCGACAGUUAUAGUCUGGAUAGGAUAGAGAUCAC